ACUUGUCCCUAACCAGUUCAAGAGAAGCAAACACAUCCUGCAGCUAGGUCGGAAAGAGAAUUCUUCCAAAGAAAUGAAAAUAGCAUUUUGUCCAUUCCAACAACAGAGGAAUCAAAAUGAAGCAUUCACAAAACAGUCUUUCAAACGGGGAAGUCGUUUGUUGUUCAACGGUGCUUCUCUUCUGAAAAAUCCAUCUUUGUUCAAAUUAUUUUUGGCUUGGAAUUGCUAUAUCUCACUUGAUCAUAAGUCACUCGGUUUUUCACUGUCUGCUACCAACACCAGUCCUAUGAGAUUCAGCCAAUUUUUCUCAUGGUCGCCCAUCACAGACUCCAUUUUCUUAUGUAUGAGAACUCCAUGGAAAGAUGUAGGCAAUUUGACGUCCCGUAGUGGUGAAUUAUCUCACCGAACAUGCUGGCACAGCGAGUAACAAGAAACACAGCAAACUGAGGGCCAUAUCUGCAUACAGAGUAUUGACACAUUGACUAUAAUCUUAUUACGGGUUUAUGCUGGUGUAAGUAUAAAUCACAAAAGAAACUUCCACUAUUACAGAAGUUGCUGCUAAAAUUCCCAGCUAUAUGUUGCAGUGGAACAAUACACUCAACCAGUAUGCAAAUAUCACUUCAUUAAUUUAGAGUAAUUCAUGGCCACAGUUUAUGUCAUUCAUUUAUCUCCACCCCACACCCCCAAAUAACACUCUACCAUAGGAUUCUGGACAGGAAAUCUGGCAGGAAUUUACUGGUAGGAAAUUAUUUCCUGCCAGUAAAUUCUUAGUAACUGCUAUAUAAGGAAGGGACGUGGUGGUGCUGUGGGCUAAACCGCAGAAGCCUGUGCUGCAGGGUCAGAAGACCAAGCAGUUGUAAGAUCGAAUCCACGCGACGGAGUCAGCGCCCAUCGCCUGUCCCAGCUCCCGCCAACCUAGCGGUUCGAAAGCAUGCAAAUGCAAGUAGAUAAAUAGGGACCACCUCGGUGGGAAGGUAACAGCGUUCCGUGUCUAAGUCGCACUAGCCAUGUGACCACGGAAGAUUGUCUUCAGACAAAAUGCUGGCUCUAUGUCUUGGAAACAGGGAUGAGCACCGCCCCCUAGAGUCGAACAUGACUGGACAAAAAUUGUCAAGGGGAACCUUUACCUUUACCUUUUGCUAUAUAAGUAGUUUGGCAAUCGUUUCCAAGGUUUUCCAGGGAGAGAAUACUCAGAUGUAGUUUACCAUUCCCUUCUUCUGGGGGCGUUCUGGGACAGUGCAACCUGCCCAAGGCUAUACAGGCUGGUUCUUCUCCCAUGAUACAGGAGUGGGGAACUGAACUCCCAACCUCCCGGGUCCAAAGUUAUGGGCCUAAAGCAUGGAGCUAUCCAGUCAGGUACCCU
RNAcentral lists this long non-coding RNA (1363 nucleotides) under Pogona vitticeps (central bearded dragon). Its description in RNAcentral is "lncRNA (ENSPVIG00000015863.1)". The record is from RNAcentral. Lineage: Eukaryota; Metazoa; Chordata; Lepidosauria; Squamata; Agamidae.